Molecule: ribosomal RNA, 470 nt
Filed under: uncultured bacterium
Lineage: Bacteria
Description: partial 16S ribosomal RNA
Rfam family: Bacterial small subunit ribosomal RNA
Source: RNAcentral
GACGAACACUGGCGGCGUGCUUAACACAUGCAAGUCGAACGGUGAACGAGGGAGCUUGCUCCCUCCGGAUCAGUGGCGAACGGGUGAGUAACACGUGAGCAAUCUGCCCCGAACUCUGGGAUAAGCGUUGGAAACGACGUCUAAUACCGGAUACGACGCGGGAGGGCAUCCUCUCCGCGUGGAAAGAACUUCGGUUCGGGAUGAGCUCGCGGCCUAUCAGCCUGUUGGUGAGGUAACGGCUCACCAAGGCGACGACGGGUAGCCGGCCUGAGAGGGUGACCGGCCACACUGGGACUGAGACACGGCCCAGACUCCUACGGGAGGCAGCAGUGGGGAAUAUUGCACAAUGGGCGCAAGCCUGAUGCAGCAACGCCGCGUGAGGGACGACGGCCAUCGGGUUGUAAACCUCUUUUAGCAGGGAAGAAGCGAAAGUGACGGUACCUGCAGAAAAAGCACCGGCUAACUACGUG